AAUUUCAGCUCGUCGCUUGGCUUGCUCGGCUAUUUCGGAAAGCUCGCCACCAUAACUGAUUUUAUCAGAAACAAUGUUGCUGGUUUGAGGUGGUUGAAGACCAUGAAUAGUUCUUUGUGAGGUUCGGUGAGGACGAUGUCGGAAGCACUCCUGGCUGCAUCAGUUGCAUCAGCAACAGCAAUUCCAAUAUCUGCCUUUUUUAGUGCAGGAGCAUCAUUUACGCCAUCUCCAGUCAUUCCACAAAUAUGUUUUUUCUCUUGUAACCUUCUCACAAUUUCAUAUUUGUGUUCUGCCACAUGCAAAUAAGCUUAGCAAAGCAAUGUGAGACAAUGCAUUUUCUAUAGGAGAACUUUAUAGGUAACCAAACA
Molecule: long non-coding RNA, 368 nt
Organism: Cucumis sativus (cucumber)
Lineage: Eukaryota; Viridiplantae; Streptophyta; Magnoliopsida; Cucurbitales; Cucurbitaceae
Exons: 2
Source: RefSeq, a predicted model, not a curated record